ACCGGCGCACGGGUGAGUAACGCGUACACUACCUACCUUUAACAGAGGGAUAGCCCUGGGAAACUGGGAUUAAUACCACAUAGUAUUGCAUAAUUUAUUUUUAUGCAAUUAAAGCUCCGGCGGUUAAAGAUGGGUGUGCGUUAGAUUAGCUAGUUGGUAAGGUAAUGGCUUACCAAGGCUACGAUCUAUAGGGGGCGUGAGAGCGUGGACCCCCACACGGGUACUGAGACACGGACCCGACUCCUACGGGAGGCAGCAGUAAGGAAUAUUGGACAAUGGGCGCAAGCCUGAUCCAGCCAUCCCGCGUGAAGGAUGACGGCCCUAUGGGUUGUAAACUUCUUUUAUUAGGGAAGAAACCUUUUCAUUUAUGAAGAGCUGACGGUACCUAAAGAAUAAGCACCGG
Molecule: ribosomal RNA, 403 nt
Filed under: uncultured bacterium
Lineage: Bacteria
Description: bacterial SSU rRNA
Rfam family: Bacterial small subunit ribosomal RNA
Source: RNAcentral